UCUCGGAGAAGCGUCUUCCGCGUUGGACCGUGUACAAGUCUCUUGGAACAGAGCGUCAUAGAGGGUGAGAAUCCCGUCUUUGACACGGACUACCAAUGCUUUGUGAUGCGCUCUCAAAGAGUCGCGUUGUUUGGGAAUGCAGCGCAAAAUGGGAGGUGAAUUCCUUCUAAAGCUAAAUAUUGGCGAGAGACCGAUAGCGAACAAGUACCGUGAGGGAAAGAUGAAAAGCACUUUGGAAAGAGAGUUAAACAGUACGUGAAAUUGCUAAAAGGGAAACGCUUGAAGUCAGUCGCGUCGUCCGGAACUCAGCUUUGCUUCGGCUUAGUGCACUUUCCGGUUGACGGGCCAGCAUCGAUUUUGACCGCUGGAAAAGGGCUGGAGGAAUGUGGCACCUUCGGGUGUGUUAUAGCCUUCAGUCGCAUACAGCGGUUGGGAUCGAGGAACGCAGCGCGCCUUAUGGCUGGGGUUCGCCCACAUUCGCGCUUAGGAUGCUGGCAUAAUGGCUUUAAACGACCCGUCUUGAAACACGGACCAAGGAGUCUAACAUGCCUGCGAGUGUUUGGGUGGAAAACCCGAGCGCGUAAUGAAAGUGAAAGUUGAGACCUCUGUCGUGGAGGGGCAUCGACGCCCGGACCUGACGUUUUCUGAAGGAUCCGCGGUAGAGCAUGUAUGUUGGGACUCGAAAGAUGGUGAACUAUGCCUGAAUAAGGUUGAGCCAGAGGAAACUCUGGUGGAGGCU
Molecule: ribosomal RNA, 739 nt
Filed under: Trametes versicolor
Lineage: Eukaryota; Fungi; Basidiomycota; Agaricomycetes; Polyporales; Polyporaceae
Description: partial large subunit ribosomal RNA
Rfam family: Eukaryotic large subunit ribosomal RNA
Source: RNAcentral